GCGCUGUUUGGUGGAUAUCUUGGCUCGGAAACUGAUGAAGGGCGUGGCAAGCUGCGAUAAGCCACGGGUAGCCGCAAGCAGGCUUUGAUCCGUGGAUGCCCAAAUGAGACAUCUCUCUGUAGCUAUAUAAACUACAGAACUCCCAUCAGGGAGGGGGAACGCGCUUAACCAAAGCAUUCUAAUAAGCGCAGGAAAAGAAAACAACAGUGAUUCCGUAACUAGUGGCGAACGAAAGCGGAAUAGACCAAACCGAAUCCGCAGUGGAGAACGCUGUGGAAAUGUGGUGUGUGGACACCGGACUUAAACCUAGCAGAGGAAGACAAAAGUCUCUGGAAAGUUAUGCCAUAGAGGGUGAUAGCCCCGUAGUCGUAACUCUGAAGGUUCUUACCGGUGCUCCCGAGUAACUCGACUUGGAAAUGCCGAGUGAAAAUGCCGGCCUCCAGCCGGCAAGUCUAAAUAUUAUCCGAGACCGAUAGCGUAAUAGUAGCGUGAGCGAAAGAUGAAAAGUAUCCUGGAAAGGAUGUGAAAAGUGCUUGAAACCAAAUAGUGAGUGAAGGAAGCGGAGAGAAAGGAUAGAUUCUUUUCGAAGUAAACCGUAGUGAUGCGGCAAACGAGAGAAGAGGACCAUCUUCGCUUCAUCCGUCUUGAACCACGGGCCAGGGAGUUUAUGGAUGUGGCGAGUUGGCUAAGGAGGUCAUCUCCGUAACCGUAGGGAAACCGACAGCCCCGCAACGGUGUUAUCACAUUGAAUGAAUGAUCUGCUUCGGCAAAAUCAGAAUUUCACUAAGGAACGCCGCCAGGGGGAGGCGUCUGAAAGGGCGCACAGUCACAUGCGUAACACCUGAAACCCCGUGAUCUAUGCCUGACCAGGGUGAAGCCGUUCGAAAGGAUGGUGGAGGCCCGAAAGGUAACUGACGUGCAAUUCGUUCCGAUGAGUUGGGUAUAGGGGCAAAAAACCAAUCUAACGGGGAGAUCGCUGGUUCUCUCUGAAGCUGCUCUGAGGCAGGCCCUGAAUGAGGUAGGUGGUGGUGUAGAGCACUAAUUCGCUUGGUAUGGAGAAGAAAUUCUUCGCCGGCGUCUUAAACUCCGAAGCUGCUACCGCCGUAGAAUUCAGGAGACGGUUUGGUACGCGUAAGGCGUAUCGUCGAGAGGGGAACAACCCAGAUUGGGGUUAAGGUCCCUAAAUGUCGGCUAAGUGUUAAAACGAAGGGCGUCAUUUCUCGAAGACAGCAAAAAGGUAAGCUUAGAAGCAGCUAUCCUUGAAAGAAAGCGUAAUAGCUCAUUUGCCGAGAGAAAUGGCCCCGAAAAUGGACGGGGCUAAAGUCGACUACCGAUACCUCAAGGCACGCGCAGUAGAGCGCGUGAUCCGGUAAGAGAGCGUCCGGUUCGGGAAGAAGUAAGGCUGUGAAGUCUUGUGGACCGUUCCGGAGUGCAGAUCCUGGCAGUAGUAACAGCAAAGAUAGGUGAGAAUCCUAUCCGCCGAAGGGGCAAGGUUUUCUUAGCAAUACGCGGUUAGCUAAGAGUUAGCCGGUCCUAAGGUGCUUCUUAACUGUUUGCACCGAAAGGGAAACGGAUUUAUAUUUCCGUGCCACAGGAGUACGAAUAGUGGCAACGCAAGGUUCCCCGCUGACGGAUCCGGGUAUCUGGAGCAGAGCAGUCGCUCUGUUUAAAUGUAUAAAUCUGGGAAGUAGUGUAAAACUGAGAACCAGAUGAAAGCACGAAUAGCCCUCCAAAUGUGGAGAGUUCCGGAGACCCCAGGUCCCAAUGAAAAGGCCGGGAACAAGUAUCUUCUGUGUCCGUACCAAGAACCGACACAGGUGUCCCAAGGUGAGAAGCCUAAGGCGUGUUGGGUUACAGGUCGUAAGGGAAAUCGGCAAAAUAGAGCUGUAUCUUUGGUAUAAAGCUUGCUUGAAGUCCUCAACGGGACUUUAAGUUGCAAUAACUAGGGGAAGCCGACUGUAAAAUAAAAACAUAGCCUUCUGCAAGAGCGAAAGCUUGUGUACAGAAGGUGAAUCCUGCCCAGUGCCGGUCGGUCAAUGCCCGGUUCAACGGGAGUAAGCCCCGGUAAACGGCGGGAGUAACUAUAACUCUCUUAAGGUAGCCAAAUGCCUUGUCAUAUAAGUAAUGACGUGCAUGAACGGACCAACGAGCUUCCUACUGUCCCUACGAUCUACCCAGUGAACCUACAGUCCGGCGAACGGGCCGGAAUGCGCCAUUGGGAAGAGAAGACCCCGCAGAGCUUUACUGCAGCCUGUUCUUUCUUUACCGCUUUUAUUGCAGAGUGUAGUUGGUAGCGUAGAAACGUGCUUUCGGGCACGCCGAGCAAAAUUGGAACACCAACCUAU
This 2345-nucleotide ribosomal RNA is filed under the name marine sediment metagenome. RNAcentral describes it as "bacterial LSU rRNA". It matches the Rfam family "Archaeal large subunit ribosomal RNA", at positions 16 to 2285 of the family's 2987-position model. The record is from RNAcentral.